Molecule: unclassified non-coding RNA, 318 nt
Filed under: uncultured fungus
Lineage: Eukaryota; Fungi
Description: partial contains small subunit ribosomal RNA, internal transcribed spacer 1, and 5.8S ribosomal RNA
Rfam family: Eukaryotic small subunit ribosomal RNA (bases 1-73)
Source: RNAcentral
UCAAACUUGGUCAUUUAGAGGAAGUAAAAGUCGUAACAAGGUUUCCGUAGGUGAACCUGCGGAAGGAUCAUUAAAUGGCGUGCGAUCCGCACGCGGAUGCGCCCGGGCUCCGGUCUCGGGGGUGCUCGCAUGCGGUUUCUCGCUCUAUACCCUUGCCUAUUUGUACCCUCUUGUUGUUUCCUCGGCGAGUCCCGACUCGCCGAUGGGAAUUUGAUCAACCUCUUGCAGUAGUAUCCAAUCAUUCUGAUCAAAAGUCUUUAAAUCGUUACAACUUUCAACAAUGGAUCUCUUGGUUCUGGCAUCGAUGAAGAACGCAGC